Molecule: ribosomal RNA, 373 nt
Filed under: Photina sp. MN295
Lineage: Eukaryota; Metazoa; Arthropoda; Insecta; Mantodea; Mantidae
Description: mitochondrial SSU rRNA
Source: RNAcentral
AUACCCUAUUAUUUUUAAUGUAAAAUUAUAAAACCAGAGUAUUAGUAGUUAUGAUCUUGAAACUUAAAGAAUUUGGCGGUAUUAUAGUCUAUUUAGAGGAAUCUGUUAUGUAAUCGAUAUUCCACGUUGAAUCUUACUUAUAUUAAUUCUUGUAUACCGUUGUUUAAGAAUAUAUUUUUAGAUAAAUUUUCUUAAUAUAUAAAUAAUUAAAAUUUCAAAUCAAGGUGCAGUAAUAUAUAAGUUGAAUAAUGGAUUACAAUAAAUUGUAUUUAUAUGAAUAAUUAUUGGAAUAGUAAUUUGAAGGUGGAUUUAAUAGUAAUUUUAUAAAGAUUAAUAAGUUGAUUAUAGGCUCUAUAAUAUGUACACAUCGCCC